AGCUUGCUCCACCGAAAGAAAAGGAGUGGCGAACGGGUGAGUAACACGUGGGUAACCUGCCCAUCAGAAGGGGAUAACACUUGGAAACAGGUGCUAAUACCGUAUAACAAUCGAAACCGCAUGGUUUCGGUUUGAAAGGCGCUUUUGCGUCACUGAUGGAUGGACCCGCGGUGCAUUAGCUAGUUGGUGAGGUAACGGCUCACCAAGGCAACGAUGCAUAGCCGACCUGAGAGGGUGAUCGGCCACAUUGGGACUGAGACACGGCCCAAACUCCUACGGGAGGCAGCAGUAGGGAAUCUUCGGCAAUGGACGCAAGUCUGACCGAGCAACGCCGCGUGAGUGAAGAAGGUUUUCGGAUCGUAAAACUCUGUUGUUAGAGAAGAACAAGGAUGAGAGUAAAAUGUUCAUCCCUUGACGGUAUCUAACCAGAAAGCCACGGCUAACUACGUGCCAGCAGCCGCGGUAAUACGUAGGUGGCAAGCGUUGUCCGGAUUUAUUGGGCGUAAAGCGAGCGCAGGCGGUUUCUUAAGUCUGAUGUGAAAGCCCCCGGCUCAACCGGGGAGGGUCAUUGGAAACUGGGGAACUUGAGUGCAGAAGAGGAGAGUGGAAUUCCAUGUGUAGCGGUGAAAUGCGUAGAUAUAUGGAGGAACACCAGUGGCGAAGGCGGCUCUCUGGUCUGUAACUGACGCUGAGGCUCGAAAGCGUGGGGAGCAAACAGG
RNAcentral lists this ribosomal RNA (719 nucleotides) under uncultured Bacilli bacterium. RNAcentral's name for it is "bacterial SSU rRNA". It matches the Rfam family "Bacterial small subunit ribosomal RNA", at positions 77 to 776 of the family's 1533-position model. Lineage: Bacteria; Bacillati; Bacillota; Bacilli. The record is from RNAcentral.